This 253-nucleotide ribosomal RNA is filed under the name uncultured bacterium. RNAcentral describes it as "partial 16S ribosomal RNA". It matches the Rfam family "Bacterial small subunit ribosomal RNA", at positions 524 to 776 of the family's 1533-position model. The record is from RNAcentral.
UACGGAGGAUGCAAGCGUUAUCCGGAAUUAUUGGGCGUAAAGCGUCCGCAGGUGGCUAAUCAAGUCUGCGGUCAAAGACUGGGGCUUAACCCUGGAAAGGCCGUGGAAACUGAAUAGCUAGAGUGCAGUAGGGGUAGAGGGAAUUCCCGGUGUAGCGGUGAAAUGCGUAGAGCUCGGGAAGAACAUCGGUGGCGAAAGCGCUCUGCUGGACUGCAACUGACACUCAGGGACGAAAGCUAGGGGAGCGAAUGGG